AUUGAACGCUGGCGGCAUGCUUAACACAUGCAAGUCGAACGGAAACAGCAGGAGCUUGCUCCUGGCUGUCGAGUGGCGGACGGGUGAGUAACGCGUGGGAAUCUACCCAGUAGUGGAGGAUAGCCCAGAGAAAUUUGGAUUAAUACUGCAUACGAUCUACGGAUGAAAGGUGGCCUCUCCUUGGAAGCUAUCGCUAUUGGAUGAGCCCGCGUUAGAUUAGCUAGUUGGUGGGGUAAAGGCCUACCAAGGCAACGAUCUAUAGCUGGUCUGAGAGGACGACCAGCCACAUCGGGACUGAGACACGGCCCGGACUCCUACGGGAGGCAGCAGUGGGGAAUAUUGGACAAUGGGCGCAAGCCUGAUCCAGCAAUGCCGCGUGUGUGAAGAAGGCCCGAGGGUUGUAAAGCACUUUCAAUUGUGAAGAAGUUAAUAAGCUUAAUACGCUUGUUAAUUGACGUUAACUUUAGAAGAAGCACCGGCUAACUCUGUGCCAGCAGCCGCGGUAAUACGGAGGGUGCGAGCGUUAAUCGGAAUUACUGGGCGUAAAGCGCGCGUAGGCGGUUUGGUCAGUCAGAUGUGAAAGCCCUGGGGCUUAACCUGGGAACUGCAUUUGAUACUGCCAAGCUAGAGUAUGGUAGAGGGAAGUGGAAUUCCGGGUGUAGCGGUGAAAUGCGUAGAUAUCCGGAGGAACACCAGUGGCGAAGGCGGCUUCCUGGACCAAUACUGACGCUGAGGUGCGAAAGCGUGGGAGCAAACAGGAUUAGAUACCCUGGUAGUCCACGCCCUAAACGAUGGGUGUUAGUCGUUGGUGCCCCUAGUGGCAUCAGUGAUGCAGCUAACGCAUUAAACACCCCGCCUGGGGAGUACGGUCGCAAGAUUAAAACUCAAAGGAAUAGACGGGGACCCGCACAAGUGGUGGAGCAUGUAGUUUAAUUCGAAGAUACGCGAAGAACCUCACCUGGGCUUGACAUCCCAAGAACCUUCCAGAGAUGGAGGGGUGCUAGUUUACUAGAACUUGGUGACAGGUGCUGCACGGCUGUCGUCAGCUCGUGUCGUGAGAUGUUGGGUUAAGUCCCGCAACGAGCGCAACCCUCGUCCUUAGUUGCUAACAGUUUAGCUGAGCACUCUAAGGAGACUGCCUUCGUAAGGAGGAGGAAGGUGAGGACGACGUCAAGUCAUCAUGGCCCUUAUGCCCAGGGCGACACACGUGCUACAAUGGGGAGGACAAUGAGAAGCGAUACCGCGAGGUGGAGCAAAUCUAUAAACCUAAUCUCAGUUCGGAUUGUAGUCUGCAACUCGACUACAUGAAGCUGGAAUCACUAGUAAUCGUAGAUCAGCUAUGCUACGGUGAAUACGUUCCCGGGUCUUGUACUCACCGCCCGUCACACCAUGGGAG
Molecule: ribosomal RNA, 1396 nt
Filed under: uncultured prokaryote
Description: partial 16S ribosomal RNA
Rfam family: Bacterial small subunit ribosomal RNA
Source: RNAcentral